AAAAGUCGUAACAAGGUAACCGUAGGUGAACCUGCGGUUGGAUCAUUACAAAAUGAUUCCUUGGUGUUGAUUGCUCUGCAAGGAGCAGUCCGCCGGGAAAACAACCCUUUGUGCACUGUAUUGUUUUUUGGGUGGCCUUUAUGGUUGCCCAGCAUUAUUAAACCACUUAAUUUUUGACUGAAUUAUAUAUUAAAUUAUAAACAACUUUUGACAACGGAUCUCUUGGCUCUC
This 231-nucleotide unclassified non-coding RNA is filed under the name fungal sp. RNAcentral describes it as "partial internal transcribed spacer region". The stretch from base 1 to 48 matches the Rfam family "Eukaryotic small subunit ribosomal RNA", at positions 1784 to 1831 of the family's 1831-position model. Lineage: Eukaryota; Fungi. The record is from RNAcentral.